Long non-coding RNA from Lycium ferocissimum, 732 nucleotides. RefSeq lists it as uncharacterized. The record is from RefSeq and is a predicted model, not a curated record. The transcript has 2 exons. NCBI's taxonomy places the organism in Eukaryota, Viridiplantae, Streptophyta, Magnoliopsida, Solanales, Solanaceae.
GGCAGUAAAGGGAAUAUUAACCAUUCAAUCUUAAUGGAUGCAUCAAAUAUGCUAUCUCGAGUUGUCAAUGGGUCCAAUGUUACUCUGCAACUGUUGGAGGAAUCAGUUCCAGUUGCACUUUAAACAAGGAUCGGAUCAUUGCGUACGUGCAAAAGAAUUCCGAGGUAUGAUGAUCAUUCAGCUGAAAUGUGAUGUCCUCAAGUCGGGUAGGGAGCAUAUGGAGUCCCAACAUUUUGGAACUUUUUCUUAGUUUUCGCUGAAUAGCAGUAGUCUGCUAGUUUUCAGUUCUGGCAUAUGAUCUUUCUUUCUAUAAUGAAUUUUAGUAUCUUCUUUCUUGUUUCCUUUUCCUCACAAGUUAUGGUUUGUUUAUAACUUACAAGCUGUUUGUUUUUUCCAACGCUUCCCUGUUUUUUCUCCUAGGUUCCUGCUGUGGCUAACCUAGGAUUUUUAAAUCAUGCGUGUUCAAUUAUUUUUAAUAUGAAAAUUGCUACUGAGAUUGGGUGCUCAGUUAAUAUAUUUGUAUGAAUUAUAGUAUUAAUGUUUGGCUCCUAAACACACAACCCCCAGACAUACGGUCCACCAUUGCUUUCCCCACUACCCCUAGUCUCUAUUUGCUGCACCAAACAAAUAUGCCUGACCAAUCAAACAAAGGGAUCACGUUUUCUUUUUUAAGGUUGGUCUGAAGUAGUGUAUCGCACUUUAGUACAAUACGGGCGGGACAAAAAAAAUAAA